ACAGCAGAGAGCUGGCCUGGAAGAGGGGCAACCGGGACAGAAUCCGGCGCCCCAACUGGGACUAGAACCCGGUGUGCCGGCGCCGCUAGGCGGAGGAUUAGCCUAGUGAGCCGCGGCACCGGCCCAAAAAUAACUCCUAUAAAUGUUAAUUCAAAUCAAUAGUUCCAUGAUGCCAGCAUCACAGACUGCCAGUAUCUUUCACUAUUACUCUCUUGUUAGAUACGACGAUUAGUUUUCAAGUUUAUUUUGUGCCUGAUAUAUUUUAAGUUGAUAUAAACAUCACAUCUCUGUGCUUCUAUCAUACUAAAAUGAUGAACAUUCAUUCUAUUUUUUUUCUGUAGAAACCAAUGAAAUUUGCUAAAUAAAUAUUUCUAAUAUUUUCUGCAGUGAAGUAAAUGAGAAACUUAGGUGAACUUGGCUCUCCAUAAAAUGAAGUCAGCCAGAUCAAGUGUAAGCAUUGCUGGCUAUCUGUCAUGUAGGAUAUAGAGAUGGUUUCUGGUCACUGAAGCUUAAAUGGGAGGCUUGAUUGACUAACGAUAUUUGCUAUGGACACAGAGAAGAGGCUGGUGCACAAGUCUGGGUUGGAGCUGGCAUUUCCUCUGAGACUGGAAUGAUGUGCUAUAUUUGCAUAGAGGAAGAAGAGAAAGUGAGGAGAGUAGCAAGAUGAAAAAUGAAUGUGCAAGUAUGCGGCACAUUAAGGAGAUCAUUCUGAGCCAAAGAGGAGGUAAACCCCACAGCCAGAGAAAGUGUCCUUGGGAGAGACACAUCAAGAAGACACAGGAUCAAGAGAGGUAGAGAUUGGACUGAUGCGGCUACAAGCCAAGGAAGCAAAGUAUUGUCUGUAACCACAAGAAGCUGGAGAUUCAAGAAAAGAUUCUCCCGUAAAACCUUGAGUGGAAGUGGGCUCUGCCAACACUUUGCUUUUGAACUUCUGGCCUCUGGAACCGUGAGAGAAUAAGUGGCUGUUGUUUUAAGCUACCCAGAUUCUGGUAAUUUGUUACAGCAGCCACAGGGAACUAAUCGAGUGAGUGAAAGGAAUUGAGAGCAUCUUGUUUCCUUCCCGAAGAAUUAGGAGCUGGCACCCAGACAAACCUUUGAAGUAGGCAAAAUUUGUCUUUGGCAUAUUUCCAUCUCCCUGGUUGUGAUACUGGUAAUAUGGAUGAAUUUUCUUUUUAGCUCCCUCCAGGCCCAGUUAUUUCUAUCAGCACCUUUAUCCCAGACUCUUACUAACUCUUUUCCUCUUCUGUCAAAAUUCCCUCUCCUCCGACUUCUUUACAUAGAAGAAAGGUUUUGAAGAUGUCAGCAAUCACGUGUGCCAACCUACAACUACAUCUUAGGUUGGUUUCUUAGAAGCAGAGCCUCAGGUGAGGAAUUUUGCUGAAAUUAUUUAUUGAGGCACUGAUCUCAAGAGAAAGGAGAACAAAUGUAGGAUCAGGCAUGGAAGAAGCUUAGCAAAAGAUGUGGGUCUGUGAGGUCCAACCUCAACCUGAUUCCACCUACAGAGACUUUUAAAAAAGAUAGAUUUGACUUUUUGAGGAGUUUUAAUUCACAACAAGAUUGAGCAGAAAGUACAGGAGCACAUGCAAAUCCCCCCAUCAGAGUGUUUUAUUUGUUCCAGUUGAUGAAGUUGCACAGACACAUCGUUAUCCCCCAAAGUCCAUGGUUUACAUUAGGAUUCACUUUUGGUAUUGUACAUCGUAUGGGUUAUAACAAAUGUAUAAUGUCAUAUAUCUACCACUAUAAUCUAAUUCAAAGUGGAUUCUCUGCCCUGGAGAACUUGUGCUCUGGCUCUUCAUCCUCCCAUUUCUCAACCCUUGAAACCACUGAUCCUUUAGUAUUUCCACAGAAGUAUUUUCCAGAAUGUCAUAUUAUAGAAACCAUAUAGGACACAGUCCUUUCAGGUUGGCUUCGUUCCUACAUUUCUUUUCAUGACUUAACAGCUGAUCAAUUCCUAGUGCUGAAUAAUAUUCCACUGCAUGAAUAUGCCAGAGUUUAUUUAACUAUUCCCCCACUGAAGGAUAUUUUGACUACUUCCAAGUUAGGACAAUUAUAAAUAAAGCUCUUAUAAACAUACAUAUGAAGGAGUUUUUUUUUAGAGUGUGAAUUUUACUUAGUAUUAUUAUUAUUUAUUUAUUAAGAGACAGAGGGAGAGAGAGCUUUCAUCUGCUGGUUCACUCCCAAAUGUCUACAACUUCUGGGUCUGGGCCAGUACCAGAGCUCAAUCAUGAAAGGGAACCCAGGGCUCCCACAUAGGUGGUAAGAAUUCAAUUACUUCAACCCCAAAACUGCCUCCUAGAAUCUGCAUUGACAGGAAGAUGGAGUCAAAGGAGCCAGAGCUGGAAAUUAAACCCAGCUGCUCUGAUGUAUACUAUGAGUGUUUUAACAGUUAAGCUAAACAUGCAGUCCUGCAUUCAGGAUUCUGUGUGUGCCUAAGCUUUCAAUCACUUUGGUAAAUACCAUGAUUUCUGGAUGAUAUAGUAAGACUAUAUUUAGGUUUGUAAGAAACUGCCAAACUGCCUUCCAAAGUGGUUGUAUUCUUUUAUAUUCCUAACAGUGAAGAAUAUCAGUUGUUAUUGCCUACAUCCUCACCAGCAUAUGCAUCAGCAUUUUGGAUUUUUACUAUCCUAAUAAGAUUGCAGUAUUUUUUAAUUUUUCAAUUCCUAAUGGCAUAUGAUGUUGGACACCUUCUCACAUGCUUAUUUUCAAUCUGUUUAUCCUCUUUGGUGAUGUUCAGGUCUUCUGCUUAUUUCUUGUGUGGGUUGUUAAUUUUCUUAUUUUUGUAUUUCAAGUCUUGCUUGUAUAUUUUAGAUAACAGUCUUUUAUCAGAUGCCUCUAUUGCAAAUAUUACCCCUGCCCCAGUCUAUGGUUUUAUCUUCUAGUUUUCUUGAGACACUACUUUUUCACACACAGAAUUGAGGAAGAUGUGCUGCAAAAUCAAGCCAUCCAUUAGGCACAGGAAGUCUUAUCUAACAUCUGAGGGACAUUGUAUGUGGAAAGGUGCAGGUGUGGACCCAACAGCUGACACCAAAAGCAGCUAGGAGAUGAGUGUUCUGGCCCCCAAGAAGAGAUAUGGGUGGAGUCCCAGAGCACCUGCUGAAAGAAGUGGGUCUAAGCAUGAGUGGCCAGUUUAAUAUCUGUGCCUCUCUGCUUUACAUCCUUUAGCAUAUGUAGGUGACCCAGGGCCAACAGUGCAGAUGCCAGGUGAUAUCUGUCUCAAGAGGUUAACUGGUCACUAAGGUGAUGAUAGAUUAUUCCUCCUAAGAAUAUGUCAAGAUACAUGAUGGGAAAAUAAGUAGGUAAAUAGAAGUAGACAGAUCCAGAGCGGCAUGUGCCUCACAUUAAUGAAGGAACAAGAGAUAAUUCAACGCCAUGGAGUCCUGCUCUUCUGCUCCCCACAAAAUUUGGUCCUUCUUAUAAAUUGGCUCAGGAGAAAUUCCUGAAAAUGUUUUAUUUCCAUAUCAUUAUUACAAUUACCAUUAUUUGGGUUCAUGUGAAUAGGCCUCCGUCUCUAAUACCUAAACAGAUUGAUAGUGUAAAAUGACAGGCUAAAUAAUUUGGAAGAAAGCAUUUGGGUACAACGUGAACGGAUAAUGAAGUCUUAAAGUCUCCAAACAAUCCAUUGUUUAAAUGGAAACAUUAAUACUUCAAAGACAAUGGUUAAUGACUGAAUCCUCAGGUAACUCAGAUAUACUUCGUGGCCAAAUUUUAUUGUGUCCUUCCAUUUAUUCAUUACACAAGUGCUAACUGAGUGCUUCUUUUUCAUCAGGUUCUGUACCACAUGCUUGGGUUUCCACAGUCUGUAAACCCAAGCACAUUAGAUGUUGCAGAAGAUGUUACAGACUGAGCUACACCAACUGCUUUAUGUGAAUAAAGAAAUGAAGAUACUCACAAGGAAAGUCAUUAAGUUUUAUUACUGAAGCACAAGCAAAGCAUUACUCAUCCCAUGCCAACCAACACAACCGGAGUCAGGACAAAUGGUCACCUCCCUUGGAACAUGUGAAAUGAUAAACAAAGCACAAGAAGUUGGUGUUCUGGAUUCGUGCAUUGCCCAGGACUAACAUAAAAGCAGUCUGUUGCAGUUUAAUUGCAGCACGUCUUUCUUUUUAUCAGGACAUGUGCUUUUUCCCAUGAACAGAGCAGAGCAUAACAUUUUGUGAAACAUAGUGCAAGGCAAGGGCAUAUUUGUUCUUAAAAGAAAUCAUUUUGGGAAAUGGCUUAAUGGGUCAUGAAAUUUGGAUGAUGAAACUAUCAGGAACGCACCUGAUGGCAACAUAAUUUGAUUUAUUUAGCUUCUUGCAGAAAACAAGAGUAGAAUUCAUUGGAAGCUUGGGAAGAUUUGUUAGGGAGGGUUGUGGGGGAGGACUUCUGAUAGAAUUUGAGCUUUGCUUUGUGUGCUUGGAAGGAAAAAUUGGACCAGUUACUAAUCUACAGUAUUUUAGAAGGUACUAUAUUUUUUUCAGCGCUAAUAAUCAAAAUAAUUAAUUGUGACCAUUUUGUUUUACUUACAGGACUGCAGUUUUGGAUUUUUGGUUAAAGGUUCUGGUUUUUUUAAAAAUGUUACUUUGAAUUGUAGGAGCAGAAGAAGGCAUUUUUAAAAUACAUUUUU
Molecule: non-coding RNA, 4606 nt
Organism: Oryctolagus cuniculus (rabbit)
Lineage: Eukaryota; Metazoa; Chordata; Mammalia; Lagomorpha; Leporidae
Source: RefSeq, a predicted model, not a curated record